GACGAACGCUGGCGGCGUGCUUAACACAUGCAAGUCGAACGGUAAGGCCCUUCGGGGUACACGAGUGGCGAACGGGUGAGUAACACGUGGGUGAUCUGCCCUGCACUUCGGGAUAAGCCUGGGAAACUGGGUCUAAUACCGGAUAGGACCACUGCCUGCAUGGGUGGUGGUGGAAAGCUUUUGCGGUGUGGGAUGGGCCCGCGGCCUAUCAGCUUGUUGGUGGGGUGAUGGCCUACCAAGGCGACGACGGGUAGCCGGCCUGAGAGGGUGACCGGCCACACUGGGACUGAGAUACGGCCCAGACUCCUACGGGAGGCAGCAGUGGGGAAUAUUGCACAAUGGGCGCGAGCCUGAUGCAGCGACGCCGCGUGAGGGAUGACGGCCUUCGGGUUGUAAACCUCUUUCAGCACCGACGAAGCGCAAGUGACGGUAGGCGCAGAAGAAGGACCGGCCAACUACGUGCCAGCAGCCGCAGUAA
This 478-nucleotide ribosomal RNA is filed under the name uncultured bacterium. RNAcentral's name for it is "partial 16S ribosomal RNA". It matches the Rfam family "Bacterial small subunit ribosomal RNA", at positions 28 to 523 of the family's 1533-position model. The record is from RNAcentral.